GACAUCAUGGCCGAGUGGUCUAAGGCGUUCGACUCAAGAUCGAAUACGCGUACGCGUGCGCGGGUUCGAAUCCUGCUGAUGUCA
Molecule: transfer RNA, 84 nt
Organism: Vittaforma corneae ATCC 50505
Lineage: Eukaryota; Fungi; Microsporidia; Nosematidae
Rfam family: tRNA
About the family: Transfer RNA (tRNA) molecules are approximately 80 nucleotides in length. Their secondary structure includes four short double-helical elements and three loops (D, anti-codon, and T loops).
Source: Rfam